Molecule: ribosomal RNA, 415 nt
Filed under: uncultured eukaryote
Lineage: Eukaryota
Description: SSU rRNA
Rfam family: Eukaryotic small subunit ribosomal RNA
Source: RNAcentral
AGCUCCACUAGCGUAUAUUAAAAUUGUUGCGGUUAAAACGUUCGAAGUUUAUUCUUGUCCAACACGGGUGCUACUCCUAAUGAUGGCAGUAGGUCACUGGACUGUUGAGACUAUAAGACUGGGUGCCUAUUUGUGGCAUUGAUGCCUUUCAUCGGGUGCAGUGUUUCCACAAGCCCAGCUGCUAUUACCUUGAACAAAUUAGAGUGCUCUAAGCAGGCUAUUUAACGGCCGAGAAUAAUCUUGCAUGGAAUAAUGGAAUAUGACCUCGGUCUUAAUAUUCAUUGGUUUGUAAUCAGAUCAAGAGGUAAUGAUUAACAGAAGUAGUUGGGGGCAUUAGUAUUACGGCGCGAGAGGUGAAAUUCGUAGACCGUCGUAAGACUAACUAAAGCGAAAGCAUUUGCCAUGGAUGCUUUCA